AUUGAACGCUGGCGGCAUGCUUUACACAUGCAAGUCGAACGGCAGCACGGGGGCAACCCUGGUGGCGAGUGGCGAACGGGUGAGUAAUAUAUCGGAACGUACCCGGAAAUGGGGGAUAACGUAGCGAAAGUUACGCUAAUACCGCAUAUGCCCUAAGGGGGAAAGCGGGGGACUCGCAAGAACCUCGCGUUUUCGGAGCGGCCGAUAUCGGAUUAGCUAGUAGGUGAGGUAAAGGCUCACCUAGGCGACGAUCCGUAGCUGGUCUGAGAGGACGACCAGCCACACUGGAACUGAGACACGGUCCAGACUCCUACGGGAGGCAGCAGUGGGGAAUUUGGACAAUGGGCGCAAGCCUGAUCCAGCCAUGCCGCGUGAGUGAAGAA
Molecule: ribosomal RNA, 383 nt
Filed under: uncultured bacterium
Lineage: Bacteria
Description: bacterial SSU rRNA
Rfam family: Bacterial small subunit ribosomal RNA
Source: RNAcentral